Molecule: ribosomal RNA, 407 nt
Filed under: bacterium enrichment culture clone ALO1_GLFRUDD03GET9T
Lineage: Bacteria
Description: bacterial SSU rRNA
Rfam family: Bacterial small subunit ribosomal RNA
Source: RNAcentral
GAGUUUGAUCGUGGCUCAGAUUGAACGCUGGCGGCAUGCCUUACACAUGCAAGUCGAACGGCAGCACGGGAGCUUGCUCCUGGUGGCGAGUGGCGAACGGGUGAAUAAUGCAUCGGAACGUAUCCUGGAGUGGGGGAUAACGUAGCGAAAGUUACGCUAAUACCGCAUAUUCUGUGAGCAGGAAAGCGGGGGACCUUCGGGCCUCGCGCUCUUGGAGCGGCCGAUGUCGGAUUAGCUAGUUGGUGAGGUAAAGGCUCACCAAGGCGACGAUCCGUAGCAGGUCUGAGAGGAUGAUCUGCCACACUGGAACUGAGACACGGUCCAGACUCCUACGGGAGGCAGCAGUGGGAAUUUUGGACAAUGGGGGCAACCCUGAUCCAGCCAUGCCGCGUGAGUGAAGAAGGCCU